AUGUCUGUUUCCUCUGCCAGGCUGGUGUGGAAGCCGACCCGUGUUUCUUCCCCCAUCCGAAUGCUGGGGAAGCAGCAAGGAGGUUGCUUAAACACUUUGCUAAGAAGAGAGCAUUGUAAGAAGAAAUUAAAAAAUUGCAGCACCGGAAGCUCAAGUCAAUUCUAUUGGAAGCUGGUCUUUUUUUUUUCCAGAAGGUUCUGGAUGGAACAGACUGGACUCUUUCAAUAAGGGUUUUAAUAUGCAAUUUAAUUUACAAUAGAAUGUCCUAUAUGACUAGAAAAUGAAAGAGAAUUAAAUGCUAGAGAUAUUUCUUAGGACUUUUGGGUGUCAAACACUGAAAUUAGGUGUUCCAGGAGCUUGGGAAUCAGAGCCUCUAGAAGUGGGGCCCACUCAGCAUAUUAGUAAUGAUGUUCCUGCACUGGGUAGAGGGUCUCCCAGGCUUUAAAGGCAAGUAUGGUGAAGCAAGUACCCUUGAGGGUCUUCCUUUGGUAAUUAUAUUUUUCACUACUCUGGUUGAAGGUUCUUUCUGGAACUUUUUUGGGUAUCAGAAAGUGUUGGAUGAGCAGUUCUUAGAUGAUAAAUCUACUCUAGCAUUCCAAAUUCCCUAGAUUUUAUAUCAAUGGAGCCUUGGCGUUUUGUCUUGGUUUAGUGUGGGCUACCAGGUUUUGGUUAAUUUACCAGGCUAACUCUUACAGCCACUCAGGAUGGUGCAUUCAAUCAGGAUCUUGGCUUCCAGCUCUUGUCCAAUGUUACAUUCCUCCCAUCCCUUAGAACCCACUUCCUUACAUGCUUCUCAGGUUUCUGUCUAUAUAGACUGACAGAAUCUUGCAAUAUUUUGAUGUUACUGUCAUUUUCUCCUGGCUUACACUGCAGCUCGGGCUGAUGAGACUUGAGUCUGGUUGGAAGUCUAGAAGCAAGGAGAGGUAGUGAGGGUCUUAGGGAAUCAGCAGUCCCUUACAAGGCAAAUACCUCAAUGAAAGCUCUCAUAGAGUUCUUGGACAAGGGGAUCCUGACCUCAGAGAUGAAGAGCAUCUUCCUGCAAAGGAUCCUCAGCAGAAUUGGGGGCAGGGCACUCAUGGUCUUCAGCUUCACUAGAAUUUGUUCAUGUGUCCCAAUUCCAAUUUUACUUUUUCUUAAGGUACUAACUUUAACAUAAGAAACCCUUCAGGAUGGUGAAUUCAAUUUGCCUUGUAAUUCAGUUACCAGAAAGAUUUGGUUUUGUGUUUGUUUUUCAGAACUUUUGGCCCUGUGUCUAUAGGAAGAAAGAUAAUUUGUAAUGAUGUCAUUCAAGCAUUCUGAUAGCUUGGGCUGGGAAUUCAAAGUCCUGAAUUCAUCAUUUCCCCUCUAAGUUCUCGAUUUUAUUUAGAAGCAACUAACUGAUUCCAUGCUACAUCUUAUUUCCACUAAAAUAUUUUUUGACGUGGAUGACUUGGUUACCCAAGCCCAGGUAUCUGCAAGUGAUAAGCUCUCAUUCUUUUGCCACCACUUAGUACACAUGCUUCGGGUGUUCUUUCAAAAACAGGAUCAGGCAUCUACUACGUGUCAGAGACUCUUCUGGUUUUCUGGAUUUACACCAUAACCAAGACAGAAACCAUCCCUACUCUCAUUUAGCUUAGUUCUAAGGGGACAGACAGAUAGAUUAAAAAUAAAUUUUAUUAAAUUUUCA
Molecule: long non-coding RNA, 1666 nt
Filed under: Bos indicus x Bos taurus (hybrid cattle)
Lineage: Eukaryota; Metazoa; Chordata; Mammalia; Artiodactyla; Bovidae
Description: lncRNA (ENSBIXG00000019901.1)
Source: RNAcentral